UACGUAGGGCGCAAGCGUUGUCCGGAAUUAUUGAGCGUAAAGAGCUCGUAGGCGGUCUGUCACGUCGGCUGUGAAAACUCGGGGCUCAACCCCGAGCCUGCAGUCGAUACGGGCAGACUAGAGUGCGGUAGGGGAGACUGGAAUUCCUGGUGUAGCGGUGAAAUGCGCAGAUAUCAGGAGGAACACCGGUGGCGAAGGCGGCUCACUGGCUCGUUUCUGACGCUCAGGCGCGACAGCGUGGGGAUCAAACAGG
This 253-nucleotide ribosomal RNA is filed under the name uncultured bacterium. RNAcentral's name for it is "partial 16S ribosomal RNA". It matches the Rfam family "Bacterial small subunit ribosomal RNA", at positions 524 to 776 of the family's 1533-position model. The record is from RNAcentral.